CAAACUGGAAACAGUUGUCAGAAAGGUGAAGAUGGGGAAGAGAUUCAUAGCUCUUCUCAAACAUUGUUUUAUAAAGAUCUAGAUCACACGAAUUCCACUCAAUAUCCAAGCUUCUUAUCAUAACAACUCAAGCUUAUCUGAACCAGCCCUCCAAACCUUGUGAGGAUCCCAUCACCAACUGACCUUCACUUGUUCUGAUACAGAAGAGAAACGGUGUUACCAUCUGUCCUUCAAAUCUUGCAUUGUGGGG
Mauremys reevesii (Reeves's turtle) is the source of this 250-nucleotide long non-coding RNA. RefSeq lists it as uncharacterized. The record is from RefSeq and is a predicted model, not a curated record. The transcript is spliced from 3 exons. NCBI's taxonomy places the organism in Eukaryota, Metazoa, Chordata, Testudines, Geoemydidae.